GACGAACGCUGGCGGCGUGCUUAACACAUGCAAGUCGAACGGAAAGGCCCUGCUUUUGUGGGGUGCUCGAGUGGCGAACGGGUGAGUAACACGUGAGUAACCUCCCUUGACUUUGGGAUAACUUCAGGAAACUGGGGCUAAUACCGGAUAGGAGCUCCUGCUGCAUGGUGGGGGUUGGAAAGUUUCGGCGGGUGGGGAUGGACUCGCGGCUUAUCAGCUUGUUGGUGGGGUAGUGGCUUACCAAGGCUUUGACGGGUAGCCGGCCUGAGAGGGUGACCGGCCACAUUGGGACUGAGAUACGGCCCAGACUCCUACGGGAGGCAGCAGGGGGGAAUAUUGCACAACGGGCGGAAGCCUGAUGCAGCAACGUCGCGUGCGGGAUGACGGCCUUCGGGUGGUAAACCGCUUUCGCCUGUGACGAAGCGUGAGUGACGGUAAUGGGUAAAGAAGCACCGGCUAACUACGUG
This 467-nucleotide ribosomal RNA is filed under the name uncultured bacterium. RNAcentral describes it as "partial 16S ribosomal RNA". It matches the Rfam family "Bacterial small subunit ribosomal RNA", at positions 28 to 507 of the family's 1533-position model. The record is from RNAcentral.